AGCAGGAGCAGCUCAGCACCUCCUCUGUCCGCUGCUCAAACCGAGUCAUGAACACAAAGCUCUGUUUAUUCUUCACGACUGGAUGAGUGCGGAGAUUUGUCUCUGAACAUUUAAAUAUCCUUAAAAUAGAGCUACUUGUGAGGUGUGGCUCACAUUCCUGAGGAAGUAUUUGGAAAUAGGUACAACAGAUGAGUUUGAAGGAACGUCAAAGACAAAUGACAUCCUGUCAUCACAAAGACUGAAUGGAUGCCGAUAAAAACACAUCCAACCAUCUCAGCUCUCUGCCUGACACCUUGUGUGUUCCUGAAGUGGCGCUGGAACAUCUGGCCUGGAUUUAUACAUUGAAAUUCUGGCCGUGGAUUCAAAGAGAAGAUCUUUUCUUUUUUUUUAAUUGAAUCCACUCUGAAGCUUGUCAGACUGAAAUGUCUCUUGGCAAGGAGCUUCAAAUACAUACUCAUGUUGCUUUGUCAUGUGACCUCUUUCACACACUUAGAUAUUUUCUUCUUUGUUCGACUCUCGUGUCAAACGGAUUCUGAUCUUGUUGUGUUGAUCUAUGAAAUGGGAGUUCUUUUUGGAGAAUGGAUCAUGUUGGGGAGAAAUGUCAUCCUUACUGUCU
Platichthys flesus (European flounder) is the source of this 616-nucleotide long non-coding RNA. RefSeq lists it as uncharacterized. Lineage: Eukaryota; Metazoa; Chordata; Actinopteri; Pleuronectiformes; Pleuronectidae. The record is from RefSeq and is a predicted model, not a curated record. The transcript has 3 exons.